This 547-nucleotide ribosomal RNA is filed under the name uncultured bacterium. RNAcentral's name for it is "bacterial SSU rRNA". It matches the Rfam family "Bacterial small subunit ribosomal RNA", at positions 355 to 896 of the family's 1533-position model. The record is from RNAcentral.
UGGGGAAUAUUGCGCAAUGGGGGGAACCCUGACGCAGCCAUGCCGCGUGAAUGAAGAAGGCCUUCGGGUUGUAAAGUUCUUUCGGUAUUGAGGAAGGUUGAUGUGUUAAUAGCACAUCAAAUUGACGUUAAAUACAGAAGAAGCACCGGCUAACUCCGGGCCAGCAGCCGCGGUAAUACGGAGGGUGCGAGCGUUAAUCGGAAUAACUGGGCGUAAAGGGCACGCAGGCGGUUAUUUAAGUGAGGUGUGAAAGCCCCGGGCUUAACCUGGGAAUUGCAUUUCAGACUGGGUAACUAGAGUACUUUAGGGAGGGGUAGAAUUCCACGUGUAGCGGUGAAAUGCGUAGAGAUGUGGAGGAAUACCGAAGGCGAAGGCAGCCCCUUGGGAAUGUACUGACGCUCAUGUGCGAAAGCGUGGGGAGCAAACAGGAUUAGAUACCCUGGUAGUCCACGCUGUAAACGCUGUCGAUUUGGGGGUUGGGGUUUAACUCUGGCGCCCGUAGCUAACGUGAUAAAUCGACCGCCUGGGGAGUACGGCCGCAAGGUUA